UACGUAGGUUGCAAGCGUUAUCCGGAAUUAUUGGGCGUAAAGAGCGCGCAGGUGGUUAAUUAAGUCUGAUGUGAAAGCCCACGGCUUAACCGUGGAGGGUCAUUGGAAACUGGUUGACUUGAGUGCAGAAGAGGGAAGUGGAAUUCCAUGUGUAGCGGUGAAAUGCGUAGAGAUAUGGAGGAACACCAGUGGCGAAGGCGGCUUCCUGGUCUGCAACUGACACUGAGGCGCGAAAGCGCGGGGAGCAAACAGG
This 253-nucleotide ribosomal RNA is filed under the name uncultured bacterium. RNAcentral's name for it is "partial 16S ribosomal RNA". It matches the Rfam family "Bacterial small subunit ribosomal RNA", at positions 524 to 776 of the family's 1533-position model. The record is from RNAcentral.